AACAUGUUAGGUUAAUUCUGCUCAAUGAAUUAUUUUAAAUGGCCGCAGUAAACUGACUGUGCUAAGGUAGCAUAAUAAAUUGGCCUUUAAUUGGGGUCUGGUAUGAACGGAAUAAUAUGAGAUAUCUGUCUUAAUUAUAUUAUUAUUAACUUACUUAAUAGGUGAAAAUUCCUAUAAACAAUACCGAAGGACGAUAAGACCCUUAGAAUUAUUAAAAGUGAAUAAUCAAUAGUUAUACAUACUUUUUGUUGGGGCGACAUAUUAUCAUUUAACAUAAUGUAAAUAUCUAUAUAACAAGACUAAUAUUCUUAGUAAGAUUUAAUUACCUGAGGGAUAACAGCAUAAUAUUAUAUAUGUUUAUGACCUCGAUGUUGGACUAGGUAAGUUUUUAACUAGCAGUUACUAACUAGUGUUCUGUUCGAACAUUCAAC
RNAcentral lists this ribosomal RNA (431 nucleotides) under Anguispira strongylodes. RNAcentral's name for it is "partial large subunit ribosomal RNA". The record is from RNAcentral. Lineage: Eukaryota; Metazoa; Mollusca; Gastropoda; Stylommatophora; Discidae.